GAAAAGAAACCAACAGGGAUUGCCUCAGUAGCGGCGAGUGAAGCGGCAAGAGCUCAGAUUUGAAAUCGUGCUUUGCGGCACGAGUUGUAGAUUGCAGGUUGGAGUCUGUGUGGAAGGCGGUGUCCAAGUCCCUUGGAACAGGGCGCCCAGGAGGGUGAGAGCCCCGUGGGAUGCCGGCGGAAGCAGUGAGGCCCUUCUGACGAGUCGAGUUGUUUGGGAAUGCAGCUCCAAGCGGGUGGUAAAUUCCAUCUAAGGCUAAAUACUGGCGAGAGACCGAUAGCGAACAAGUACUGUGAAGGAAAGAUGAAAAGCACUUUGAAAAGAGAGUGAAACAGCACGUGAAAUUGUUGAAAGGGAAGGGUAUUGCGCCCGACAUGGGGAUUGCGCACCGCUGCCUCUCGUGGGCGGCGCUCUGGGCUUUCCCUGGGCCAGCAUCGGUUCUUGCUGCAGGAGAAGGGGUUCUGGAACGUGGCUCUUCGGAGUGUUAUAGCCGGGGCCAGAUGCUGCGUGCGGGGACCGAGGACUGCGGCCGUGUAGGUCACGGAUGCU
This 549-nucleotide ribosomal RNA is filed under the name Pichia kudriavzevii. RNAcentral's name for it is "partial large subunit ribosomal RNA". It matches the Rfam family "Eukaryotic large subunit ribosomal RNA", at positions 56 to 627 of the family's 3401-position model. Lineage: Eukaryota; Fungi; Ascomycota; Pichiomycetes; Pichiales; Pichiaceae. The record is from RNAcentral.